CUCAGGUGUUGUUGGGUAGGGGAGCGUUCUGUAAGCCUGCGAAGGUGGCCUGUGAGGGUUGCUGGAGGUAUCAGAAGUGCGAAUGCUGACAUAAGUAACGAUAAAGCGGGUGAAAAGCCCGCUCGCCGGAAGACCAAGGGUUCCUGUCCAACGUUAAUCGGGGCAGGGUGAGUCGACCCCUAAGGCGAGGCCGAAAGGCGUAGUCGAUGGGAAACGGGUUAAUAUUCCCGUACUUGGUGUUACUGCGAAGGGGGGACGGAGAAGGCUAUGUUGGCCGGGCGACGGUUGUCCCGGUUUAAGCGUGUAGGUGUGUGUUCCAGGUAAAUCCGGUUCACUUUAACACUGAGGCGUGA
This 353-nucleotide ribosomal RNA is filed under the name Salmonella enterica. RNAcentral describes it as "partial 23S ribosomal RNA". It matches the Rfam family "Bacterial large subunit ribosomal RNA", at positions 1213 to 1566 of the family's 2925-position model. The record is from RNAcentral. Lineage: Bacteria; Pseudomonadati; Pseudomonadota; Gammaproteobacteria; Enterobacterales; Enterobacteriaceae.